GCUGACCUGAGAGUAAGAAUGAAUAAAGAUUUUGUGGAAAUAUACUACAAUGGAGAAUGGCAUGGUGUUUGUCCAACAGAUUAUAAUAACGAAUUUGGAAAAGUUGUUUGUCAUCAUCUUGGAUAUAAUGUAAGUUUGUUUGCGCAACAGGUGUCUCCGAGAGUAUCCAAAACACCGGUCUUGCCUAUUGUAUUUAACUGUUCCGGUAACGAACAAAGACCGGUUGAAUGUCCACUAUAUAACAGAUCGGAAACUUGUCCUGUUAGUGAAAGUUUGAGAAUGAAAUGCAGUAUCAAGUCAAAUCACCAGCAUCUGUUAACCAGCACUUCUCAGCUGAUAGCAACCAUCAAUUUGUAUGGCGAUGCCCUUUACCAAAACAAAAUACAAAACAUCACGGCAGACAUCAAAACUGGCGACAAUAUCUAUGUGCAAGUACAAAGUCCGACGUUAGCUGGAAUUAGAAUGAUAGUAGAGAAUUGUUACGCCAAACCAAGCCAUGAUGCCGAUAAAAGUCAAUCUUUAAUACUGAUACGAGAUGGGUGUGAAGCAGAUGGAAGAACAUAUAUAACAAAAUACACGGACAGCGAGACGCACUUCUUUUUUCCCGUAAAUUUCGACACUGGUCAAAGAAUUGUCGACGUUGUGUGUGAUGUUAGAUCUUGUAGGACUGCCUCAACUAUCACCUGUC
This is a long non-coding RNA of Patella vulgata (common limpet), 688 nucleotides long. RefSeq lists it as uncharacterized. The record is from RefSeq and is a predicted model, not a curated record. Lineage: Eukaryota; Metazoa; Mollusca; Gastropoda; Patellidae. The transcript is spliced from 4 exons.